RNAcentral lists this long non-coding RNA (221 nucleotides) under Elaeis guineensis (African oil palm). RNAcentral's name for it is "long non-coding RNA (EGUI_LNC067390)". Lineage: Eukaryota; Viridiplantae; Streptophyta; Magnoliopsida; Arecales; Arecaceae. The record is from RNAcentral.
GCCUAAACCAAAAGCUUGAACAGGCUUGAGCUAAGCCUAGACAAGCUUGAAAUUCUUAACCUUUUUGAAUUUUCUUUCUUGAUUCCAUAGAUUCUGAAUUAGCAGCAUAAGUGUCCAGCCUCUAUGGGCAUCUACGAAGCCAACUUCAAUUAUUUUCUCUUGGAUCUUGCUUGCCUGAACCAAAAGCUUGAACAGGCUUGAGCUAAGCCUAGACAAGCUUG